GGGCCUGUAGCUUAGAGGGUUAGAGCACGUGGCUACGAAUCACAGUGUCGGGGGUUCGAAUCCCUCCUUGCCCA
This 74-nucleotide transfer RNA is filed under the name Triticum aestivum (bread wheat). It matches the Rfam family "tRNA". Rfam says of the family: Transfer RNA (tRNA) molecules are approximately 80 nucleotides in length. Their secondary structure includes four short double-helical elements and three loops (D, anti-codon, and T loops). The record is from Rfam by way of RNAcentral. Lineage: Eukaryota; Viridiplantae; Streptophyta; Magnoliopsida; Poales; Poaceae.